RNAcentral lists this ribosomal RNA (869 nucleotides) under uncultured archaeon. RNAcentral's name for it is "bacterial SSU rRNA". It matches the Rfam family "Archaeal small subunit ribosomal RNA", at positions 1 to 878 of the family's 1478-position model. The record is from RNAcentral.
CUCCGGUUGAUCCUGCCGGACCUGACUGCUAUCGGAUUGGUACUAAGCCAUGCGAGUCAUUGUAGCAAUACAAGGCGGACGGCUCAGUAACACGUAGUCAACCUAACUCGUGGACGUGGAUAACCUCGGGAAACUGAGAAUAGACCACGAUAGAUCAUAGUGCCUGGAAUGGCUUAUGGUCCAAACAGUUUACUGCCAUGGGAUGGGACUGCGGCCUAUCAGCUUGUUGGUGAGGUAAUGGCCCACCAAGGCGAUUACAGGUACGGGCUCUGAGAGGAGAAGCCCGGAGAUGGGUACUGAGACACGGACCCAGGCCCUAUGGGGCGCAGCAGGCGAGAAACCUUAGCAAUGUGCGAAAGCACGACUGGGUCAGUCCGAGUGAUUCCUGAUAAAGGAGUCUUUUGCUUGUCCUAAAAGCACAGGUGAAUAAGGGGUGGGCAAGUCUGGUGUCAGCCGCCGCGGUAAUACCAGCACCUCGAGUGGUCAGGACGUUUAUUGGGCCUAAAGCAUCCGUAGCCGGCUCUGCAAGUCUUCGGUUAAAUCCACCUGCUCAACAGAUGGGCUGCUGGAGAUACUACAGAGCUAGGGAGUGGGAGAGGCAGACGGUAUUCAGUGGGUAGGGGUAAAAUCCUCUGAUCCAUUGAGGACCACCAGUGGCGAAGGCGGUCUGCCAGAACACGUUCGACGGUGAGGGAUGAAAGCUGGGGGAGCAAACCGGAUUAGAUACCCGGGUAGUCCCAGCUGUAAACGAUGCAAACUCGGUGAUGCAUUGGCUUAUGGCCAAUGCAGUGCCGCAGGGAAGCCGUUAAGUUUGCCGCCUGGGAAGUACGGACGCAAGUCUGAAACUUAAAGGAAUUGGCGGGGGAGCA